RNAcentral lists this long non-coding RNA (1512 nucleotides) under Marmota monax (woodchuck). Lineage: Eukaryota; Metazoa; Chordata; Mammalia; Rodentia; Sciuridae. The record is from RNAcentral.
GUUGCCACAUGUGCUGUUUUCAGGGGAGAGGCACUGCAGACUCUCUGUCUGUUGGAGAGAAAGAUCCUGGGAUCUCAGGGGCACAGAGAGUAGUCAUAGUCUCUGGACCAUGAACCUAGCUUAGAGCUCAAGCUCUUUUUAAGACCUUGUCAGAGGGGCAGGGCAGGAGCAGGAGGGAGACUGAAGGGUCUUUGGGAGCCUCUGGUCAACCUAACAUGAUGUAAGGGGAGCUUAAUGACAGCUCACACUGGGGCUUUCUCCCAUCAGGUGCCUUCACCAGUACCAGGCACAGAAUCAGGUGGUUUGUGGCAAUGCAAAGUAUGUGGUUUCUUUAGCAUUUAUUCUGGUGUAAACCUCAACUGCAUAUGGCUGGACUUGAGCAGGGCUGUGAUGACCUCCUCUUCAUCACCCUUCUUUGUACUUCCUUUAUCUCUGGCCUACAUCCCUCUCCAGCUCAGGGUUGGGCUCAGCAUUUUACACCACUCUCCCAGGGAGGCCUCAUGUCAAUACCUUUGACCAGAGUCAGUCAUGGGUUCUGAAAUAAAAAGGGCAUGAUGUGAAUCCAUGGACAUAUUUUUAAAUAAUGAGCCGAAUGUGAGAGAAUUUCAGAACUUAAAAUAGAUGCCACAUUCCAAAAACUAUGGGUGAUUAUAAGAAUCUGUAAGCCAAUACUUGCUCAAAUGGAGAAAAAUACUAUUACUCUUAGGGCCGUGGCUCUGAAUGAGAAGGUGAAGGGGGGUGGUAAAGGUCAAGUAUUGUUCAGCACACAACCGUGCACACUGCUGGGGUUCGUCCUUACCUAGACAGCUAGAUGGAAUCUCUUCUCUUUCUCAGAGAGAAUCUCAAAUGUCACAGACCCUGCCAGGCCCUCAAGGUUGUCCUUGCCCACUGCAAGCCUCAUGAAAUUGUGGUGUGUCCUGCACUCUCCAGGGGCCCAGUGACUCAAGGGUUAGUGAAGCUCCUGUCCAAAUGUGCUUCUCUCACAUCACACAAUCCUAUCCACCCAUUGGGGCAGGGGAGAGUUCCCACCAGGUGACCCUUUCCACAAGAGAGACCUGGGGUUGAGUCCAGAGAGAAUGUGUACUCAGGAGGGACCAUGGGGAAUAAUAUGGAAAGGAGGUUUUACCAGGAGGCAAAGCUGAGAUGGAAAGAUGAGCAGACAUACAGGAGUCCAAAGCCAUGUCCCAGAUACACACAGAGAUGGUCAGUGCACAAUCACAGGAGAGGAGGCCCCACAAAAACUUGGUAUCUGGCCACUUUUGACCACCCUGACCUUAGCUAAUGCCCACAGGAGAAACCCAGCCUGCAGUUGAGGACUCAGCCAUGACAAUCAACCUCACAGCUCAAGUCAACUCCCAAAGCGCAGUCAAGUCCUCUUCCCUAGGGCAGCCCCUUUGCUAGGGCCACACCAGAGUGCUGGGGACACUCAAGAUGUUAGAGAGGAAACAAAACAAAAUCUAUGAACUUCAGCUCACCUAAAAGUCCUAACCUGUCUCAGGAGUUAUAGGUCUC